This 252-nucleotide ribosomal RNA is filed under the name uncultured bacterium. Its description in RNAcentral is "partial 16S ribosomal RNA". It matches the Rfam family "Bacterial small subunit ribosomal RNA", at positions 524 to 776 of the family's 1533-position model. RNAcentral also lists the same sequence under 1 other name. The record is from RNAcentral.
UACGUAGGGGGCAAGCGUUAUCCGGAAUUAUUGGGCGUAAAGAGUGCGUAGGCGGUUUUGUAAGCGUGAGGUGAAAGGCAAUGGCUCAACCAUUGUAAGCCUUGCGAACUGUAAGACUUGAGUGCAGGAGAGGAGAGUGGAAUUCCUAGUGUAGCGGUGAAAUGCGUAGAUAUUAGGAGGAACACCAGUGGCGAAGGCGACUCUCUGGACUGUAACUGACGCUGAGGCACGAAAGCGUGGGGAGCGAACAGG